UGGGGAAUAUUGCACAAUGGGCGCAAGCCUGAUGCAGCCAUGCCGCGUGUAUGAAGAAGGCCUUCGGGUUGUAAAGUACUUUCAGCGGGGAGGAAGGCGAUAAGGUUAAUAACCUUGUCGAUUGACGUUACCCGCAGAAGAAGCACCGGCUAACUCCGUGCCAGCAGCCGCGGUAAUACGGAGGGUGCAAGCGUUAAUCGGAAUUACUGGGCGUAAAGCGCACGCAGGCGGUCUGUCAAGUCGGAUGUGAAAUCCCCGGGCUCAACCUGGGAACUGCAUUCGAAACUGGCAGGCUAGAGUCUUGUAGAGGGGGGUAGAAUUCCAGGUGUAGCGGUGAAAUGCGUAGAGAUCUGGAGGAAUACCGGUGGCGAAGGCGGCCCCCUGGACAAAGACUGACGCUCAGGUGCGAAAGCGUGGGGAGUAAACA
RNAcentral lists this ribosomal RNA (427 nucleotides) under uncultured bacterium. RNAcentral's name for it is "partial 16S ribosomal RNA". It matches the Rfam family "Bacterial small subunit ribosomal RNA", at positions 355 to 774 of the family's 1533-position model. The record is from RNAcentral.